Long non-coding RNA from Homo sapiens (human), 1275 nucleotides. Ensembl annotates it as CELF2 divergent transript. Its record names the gene CELF2-DT. The record is from Ensembl. Lineage: Eukaryota; Metazoa; Chordata; Mammalia; Primates; Hominidae.
AAUGCUGGGUCCCGCCCCUUCUUCCGGCUGGGUUCCACUACCUGCAAGGCUGGAACUGACAGCCACUGUGCAAACAAAAAAAGGCAACAAGCAUGCUGGGACCAUUCUGUCUGCUGUUUGGGUCUCACUUGUCCUGACAACUAAAAAUCAUCAGUGGAAAGAGGUUGCAGCAUUUGAAAAUUAUCAAAAAGCAGCAGAGACAAGUUUGGGUGGUUUCCAGGGGAGAGGCACUGAAAGUGAUUGAUUCCUAUCAAAAGCACAAGGACAGGAAGCUAGAGUCAUCCUAACAAGAGUGAUAGUCUUUCCCCAAGUGAGACCAGGCUGUGCUGUCUGGGGAAAAGCAUUGCUGGCCUUGUCGAGAUGCACCGACGACUCAGCUCAGCUAAGGACUUAACCAGUACAGGACUUGCUGCAGCGGAGCCUGAGCUGGAUAUGGAAAGCAAAAGAAGCAAGAUCUCCCUAUGUUGCCAAGGUUGGUCUGGAACUCCUGAGCUCAAGUGAUCCUCCUGCCUCAGCCUCCUAAAGUGUUAGAAUUAUUGAUGUGAGCCACUGCAUGUGGUCAAUUCUGUCAUUCUUGACAACAAGGAUGAAGCUGGGAGAUACUGUGCUGAGUAGAAUAAACCAAGCACAAAAAGACAAGUGCCUCAUGAGCUCACUUAUAUGUAGAAUCUGUAACAGUCGAACUCAUCAGAGAGCAGAAUAAUGGUUACCAGGGACUAGCAGUAGGCUGGAGGGAGAGGUGGGGAGGUGUCGGUGAAAUAAUAUAAAAUUUCAGUUAGAAAAAAUAAGAUUUAAGAGAUCUAUUGCACAACAUGGUGACUAUAGUUAUUAACACUGUAUUAUAUUCUUGAAAAUCACUAAGAUUUUAAUAUUCUCACCACAAAAAAUAAGCAUGUGAGGUAAUGCAUAUGUUAAUGGCUCAAUUUAGCCAUUUCCAAUGAUUAAAUAUUUGAAAGCAGUUAUAUACCAUAAAUGUGUACCUUUUUAAUUAAAAAAAUUAUUUUCUAGCAGGAUGCUCUGAAAUUGGAACUGAAUAUUACUUAAACCUUGAAGUCUGGGAACAGGGACAUAGUGCUUUUCCAAAACUGCCAGAAAGGUGUCUCUUAAUGCUCUAUGGAUAGAAGUGGCCACCUGUCUUACAGGCUGACGCUGGAGCCCAGCAAAAGUUAUUUUGGUAGACCCUUAUUGUUUAGCAAUGCAAAAAGAGAACCUACUUACUUUCUUUGUAUUAACUCUGGAUACUGAUAAACUAAAUAAAAAUACCUUGGCCAGGGA